RNAcentral lists this ribosomal RNA (450 nucleotides) under uncultured bacterium. Its description in RNAcentral is "partial 16S ribosomal RNA". It matches the Rfam family "Bacterial small subunit ribosomal RNA", at positions 338 to 795 of the family's 1533-position model. The record is from RNAcentral.
CCUACGGGGGGCUGCAGUAAGGAAUAUUGGACAAUGGACGAAAGUCUGAUCCAGCCAUGCCGCGUGAAGGAUUAAGGUCCUCUGGAUUGUAAACUUCUUUUAUAUGGGUCGAAAAAAGGGCAUUCUUGCUCACUUGACAGUACCAUAUGAAUAAGCACCGGCUAACUCCGUGCCAGCAGCCGCGGUAAUACGGAGGGUGCAAGCGUUAUCCGGAUUCACUGGGUUUAAAGGGUAUAAGUAAGGAUAAGUAGAAAUCUCGGAGCUUAACUCCGAAACUGCCUUUGAUACUAUUUGUCUUGAAUAUUGUGGAGGUUUGCGGAAUAUGUCAUGUAGCGGUGAAAUGCUUAGAUAUGACAUGGAACACCUAUUGCGAAGGCAGCAGGCUACACAUAUAUUGACACUGAGGCACGAAAGCGUGGGGAUCAAACAGGAUUAGAUACCCCAGUAGUC